RNAcentral lists this long non-coding RNA (1545 nucleotides) under Homo sapiens (human). RNAcentral describes it as "HSALNT0362155". Lineage: Eukaryota; Metazoa; Chordata; Mammalia; Primates; Hominidae. The record is from RNAcentral.
AAUGACAAAUAUUGUAUCACUCUACUUCUGUGAGGUACCUAUAGUACAUUCAUAGAGACAAAAAGUAAAAGGGUGCUUGCCAGGGGCUGGGGCCAAGGAGGAAUUGGGAAGUGUGGGAAGAUGAAAAUAUUCCACAGAUGGAUGGUGGUGACAACUGCACAAUAAUGUGAAGAUACCUAAUGCCACAGAACUUUACACUUAAAAAUGGUUAAAAUAGUAAAUGCUUUGUAUAGGUUACCACAACUUUUUUUAAGUGAGGUGUCCAGAAGUAUAAUAAAUACAACUCCAGGCACUGUUGGAUGCAACAGUUCAAGUGCCUUCAUGGGAAUCUUGUCACUAUUUUGUUCUUCUUUCCUCUUCAUUUGCUUCAUUUUCAAGAAGAAUCUCUUUACGUGGUGGCAAAGAUGGCCACCCUCAUCUUAAAUCAUCUAUAUACCUCAUGAUUGUCGCCAAAAGAGAGUCUCUUGCCUGACAGUUCCAGCUAAAGCUCUGGGAAUGGCUGAUUGGCCUGGUGUUGGGUCAUAAACCCACUCUUGAACUAAUCACUGUAGCCAGAAAUCAGAGUACACUGAUUGGUCAAGCCUGAGUCAUGUGUUCAACCUCAAGCCAAUCACUGUAGUCAGGGGAGCAGAGUUCUCUGGCCAUGCCUCCCUGAUGGGAGUCCACCUGAACCGUGGACUGAGAAUGAAAAGGGUGAUUUCUCACAGAGAUACUGGACAGUCAAAACAUGUCCAUCACAGCUUCUUCUUUCUUUCUCUAUGGACCAGUUUUCUGUGUUUUCAGUCAGUAUGGUAGAAGAAAUAUUGCUAUGCCCAGCUCAAGUUUUACUUUCUCUCUAUUCAAGAACACUAGAAGUCCCUGGGAGACUCUGACUAGUGAAGCUCAUACAACUAACUGUGAUGGUGGAGAUGAGGAUAGUCUUAAAGGUAACACGGUUGCAACAGACUCAUCUAUGCGAAUAUAAAGACUCUUCCUUCUGCAGCAAGUAGAAGGCAUGACUGAAGCAACUCAAGUCUACAUCAUCCCAGCUUCGCAAUCUCCCAAGAGAACAAGAGCCCCAGUUGGCCAACAUCUGAACAUAAAUUCUCAUCAGUCCACCUUCAUAAGCAGACGGGGAGGGUCUCCAGGGAUAACAGGAAUUUAACCAACUUCAGCAAUGAGCCUGGUUUACAGCCUCCUGCCCUGCAGCCUGUUCUUCCACAAACCCUGGGUAAAAUGCAGUCACCUUGUUGGUUUAAACCAGCUCUUGACAGACCCCCGGCAACAUACAGAUGAACGCAAGUGAACUUUCUCAUGACCACGCUAAAGUCUCCACCCUGGGCAACCUGUAGCUUCAUUACCAUGACAUGCAACCUAUGCGCUGACGUAAUGACUCACUGCAUCUGUGCAACUAGACCUCUCCUCGUCAUGCAAUGAUGCUCCCUGUCUCCUCUCCAUUGCGCCAUAAAACCCUCCUGUCACUUUCCCUCGGAAAGACACUGCUUUGGAGAAUACCCCCAGUGUCACCCUUACUUGAGUUAAAUAAAACUCCUAUUGAUCAAAGAC